GUGACGUCACGGCGGUGGGCGGGGCCUCGGCGAGCGCGGGUGUGACAGCAGCAGUGACCGCAGUGACGUCGGCAGCGAGCUCAGUGGCCAGUGACAUCACCAAUGUCACCAGGAACCAGGUGUGACAUCAGCAACCGUGUGUGACAUCAUCAGUGACAUCAUCACUGACGAACAGUGACAUUGCGGUGACACUCCGGUGACAUUGUUGUGACAUUGUGGUGACAUCGCAUUGACGCUGCAGUGACAUUGUGGUGACAUCACGGUGACGUCUCGGUGCCAGGUGCCACCCCGGCCAUGCUGCGCGGUGCCCGGGCGGUGGCCCUGUUCCUGUCCCC
Molecule: long non-coding RNA, 335 nt
Organism: Melospiza melodia melodia
Lineage: Eukaryota; Metazoa; Chordata; Aves; Passeriformes; Passerellidae
Exons: 3
Source: RefSeq, a predicted model, not a curated record